AUCAUGGCAUAUCCUCUUCCCU
This 22-nucleotide microRNA is filed under the name Panagrellus redivivus. RNAcentral describes it as "prd-miR-7900-3p". The record is from miRBase by way of RNAcentral. Lineage: Eukaryota; Metazoa; Nematoda; Chromadorea; Rhabditida; Panagrolaimidae.